UGGGGAAUAUUGCACAAUGGGCGCAAGCCUGAUGCAGCCAUGCCGCGUGUAUGAAGAAGGCCUUCGGGUUGUAAAGUACUUUCAGCGGGGAGGAAGGGAGUAAAGUUAAUACCUUUGCUCAUUGACGUUACCCGCAGAAGAAGCACCGGCUAACUCCGUGCCAGCAGCCGCGGUAAUACGGAGGGUGCAAGCGUUAAUCGGAAUUACUGGGCGUAAAGCGCACGCAGGCGGUUUGUUAAGUCAGAUGUGAAAUCCCCGGGCUUAACCUGGGAACUGCAUUCGAAACUGGCAGGCUAGAGUCUUGUAGAGGGGGGUAGAAUUCCAGGUGUAGCGGUGAAAUGCGUAGAGAUCUGGAGGAAUACCGGUGGCGAAGGCGGCCCCCUGGACAAAGACUGACGCUCAGGUGCGAAAGCGUGGGGAGCAAACAGG
RNAcentral lists this ribosomal RNA (429 nucleotides) under Chloroflexota bacterium. RNAcentral describes it as "Chloroflexi bacterium partial 16S ribosomal RNA". It matches the Rfam family "Bacterial small subunit ribosomal RNA", at positions 355 to 776 of the family's 1533-position model. The record is from RNAcentral. Lineage: Bacteria; Bacillati; Chloroflexota.